Molecule: ribosomal RNA, 202 nt
Filed under: uncultured bacterium
Lineage: Bacteria
Description: partial 16S ribosomal RNA
Rfam family: Bacterial small subunit ribosomal RNA
Source: RNAcentral
CACGUAGGGUGCGAGCGUUGUCCGGAAUUAUUGGGCGUAAAGAGCUCGUAGGCGGUGUGUCGCGUCGGCCGUGAAAACCUGCAGCUUAACUGUGGGCUUGCGGUCGAUACGGGCAUCACUGGAGUUCGGCAGGGGAGACUGGAAUUCCUGGUGUAGCGGUGAAAUGCGCAGAUAUCAGGAGGAACACCGGUGGCGAAGGCGG